UCGGAUGUGGUGUAUGGUGCACAACCGCUCGUAUUAACGAUUUUUGGGUGAUUGAUUUGUGCGGGAGACCCGGGUUCGACUCCCGGCGUCCGAA
This is a non-coding RNA of Mycena leptocephala, 94 nucleotides long. Lineage: Eukaryota; Fungi; Basidiomycota; Agaricomycetes; Agaricales; Mycenaceae. The record is from the annotation of a GenBank genome assembly.